RNAcentral lists this transfer RNA (73 nucleotides) under Canis lupus familiaris (dog). It matches the Rfam family "tRNA". From Rfam's summary of the family: Transfer RNA (tRNA) molecules are approximately 80 nucleotides in length. Their secondary structure includes four short double-helical elements and three loops (D, anti-codon, and T loops). RNAcentral also lists the same sequence under 2 other names. The record is from Rfam by way of RNAcentral. Lineage: Eukaryota; Metazoa; Chordata; Mammalia; Carnivora; Canidae.
ACCUGGCUGGCUCAAUUGGAAAAGCAUACAAUUUUUGAUCUCAUGGUUAUGAGUUUGAGUCCCAUGCCAGGUG